GGAUGUGAGGGUAAUCUGGCUGCGACAUCUGUCACCCCAUUGAUUGCCAGAAUUGAUUCGGCUGAUCUGGCUGGCUAGGCGGGUGCCCCCUUCCUCCCUCACCGCUCCACGUGCGUCCCUCCCGAAGCUGCGCGCUCGGUCGCAGAGGACAACCUUCCCAGAUAGAGGAGGACCCGUUCUUCUCGGUCAAGGGUACACAAGUAGUUGCACUCCCCGGCCAGAGCCUCCAGACAAGCUCUCAGUCUAAGUUAAGUACAAGAUAUCUCAUCUCUCGCCCUGGCCUUCCGUGAUGCUGCCUGCAAAA
Molecule: small nuclear RNA, 304 nt
Filed under: Camelus ferus (Wild Bactrian camel)
Lineage: Eukaryota; Metazoa; Chordata; Mammalia; Artiodactyla; Camelidae
Description: 7SK RNA
Rfam family: 7SK RNA
About the family: 7SK was discovered as an abundant small nuclear RNA in the mid-70s but a possible function has only recently been suggested.
Source: Rfam by way of RNAcentral